RNAcentral lists this long non-coding RNA (216 nucleotides) under Mytilus galloprovincialis (Mediterranean mussel). Lineage: Eukaryota; Metazoa; Mollusca; Bivalvia; Mytilida; Mytilidae. The record is from RNAcentral.
CUCAUGCAAAGCUCUGAUUCCUUUCACGGAUUUGGCUAUACUUUUUGGACCUUUUGGAUUAUAGCUCUUCAUCUUUUAUAUAAGCUUUGGAUUUCAAAUAUUUUGGCCACGAGCAUCACUGAAGAGACAUGUAUUGUCGAAAUGCGCAUCUGGUGCAAGAAAAUUGGUAUCGUUAAUUUUAUUACUACCACUGGGUCGAUGCCUCUGCUGGUGGAC